UGGCAAGAGGGCGAGCGGCGAGCAGCUCCACUUUGCUCCCGGCGGGGGAGGAAAAUGCCGUGUCUAUGGGAAAUAAUUGUGAAAAACACAACGGGGCAACCCACCCGAAAGAACCUGAAUGGAUGGGGCCAGUAAGACGUCACGGUGAGCUGCAGCCAUGAAGCGAAGGAUCAGGAGCAAGGCAUCAUUUGGAGACCCAGUCCUGUCGCGCAGAUUGACUAAUUCUCUUGAUUGUUGUGGAGCGCGCGGGUGUCUGUGAUUCCAAAACGAAGGUGAUCUUGGCCAACACCAGAGGAAUCAGACGGCAUUUAGGCAAGAGUUUGACAAGUCUGCUUCCCUGGAGGUGUGGUCAUGGGUUGCCUAGGGGUUGGCUGUUAUCUUUGGUUAUCUAGCUGUAUGAGUGAUGUACAUUCUUCAUAAAGCUAGAUAACCGAAAGUAACAAGAAUCCCAUUACACUCCUGAAAGGCGUCCCCCAUUCACAUGUGAAUUCAAGAAGACACACAUGGAGGAAACCUUACAAUUUCAAAAUGGGCGCCACCAUCAGUCGUUCAGAGAUGCCAGUGGGAGAGUGAGAGAGUGUGGUUCUUGGGAGGAGGGGCUGGUCCACCAUCACUACCACCCACCCACCUCCUCCUCCAGCCUCCCUCCAUCACUGCUCGCAUGUGUAGCCUGUCCCCCAACCCCUCCCUCCGCCUCUGCCUGCCUGCCUGCCCUCUCCUGCGUAUCACAAGAUGCAGCCUGCGCCACCAUCUUAUGAGAAUGCCUGGCAUAAAAUGGAAGUGGGGGGAAAACACGAAAGGAGGUAAAACACUGCAAAAAAAGAGGACAGAUUGAUCAGAAAACGAAAACUGACCGACUCUCCCCGACAGACACAAAUAUGGCCACAAGCACUUACACAAUGGAACGCACGUUAUCUAUCGUCUACUCAUUUUGUGCCCCAACACCCGAUCCCAAAAGCACUUUACAUGUUGCAUCGUCUGUUUACGUUUCACGUGCUCUUUGGUGGCAGUCGGCCAUUUAUGUCUGAUGAGAGGACACUACAUAACGCUGUGAUUGCCUUCGCUGUCUUCCAGUGGAGGUAUAGAACCGCUCCGGGCUCGUAAACCUGUUCCAGUCUGUCUGGUGCUUCUGUGCGGCUGUGGCAUCGCCGACUGAGCCUCAGAAGAUAGGACACACACCUGGAGUACAUCUGUCUGUCUCACCAGUAGACUCUGCAGAACAACACACAGCACUAUCACAGCUGUUUACAAUCUAUACGAGAGACUUGUGCAAUGCAUUAAUUGCAUAUGUAUAUUCUGAAACUUUUUUUUUUUUUUUUAAAUGUAUGUGGAAUUGCUUAAGAUGAGCGAUUGUUUUUAAUAUGCACUAAAUGUACAGUAUAGCAGGGUAUUUGUUGUUUGCUAACCUACACUAAUAGGAAUGUUUGUUUUGCUUAAUUCAUAUAUAGGGUACUUUAAUCAUGUUAACCUGAAGGAUUUGGUAGUGUAUACCAUGUAGACAGCUGGUAUAGUGGACCUCCUUUUUUAUUACUUUUUUUUUUUGUAGAAAUAAUUUAGUGCUGAGCAUGUGUUUGAAUGUGUGUAAGACCCACGGCAGCAGUGAAGCCAACUGCACUGUGAUUGGACAGCUCCAUGUGUGGACACACACGCUGGUGAAGGAGAGAGCUGUUGUCUUUAUUCUCUAUGCAACUCCACAGGGCUCGCAAUCAACUGGAACAUGCACCUUUUGCACUAGCAAAUACUGAAAAGUCUAUCCUCUUAUGCAUGCUUUGAUGGAAAUAGUGUGUGUGUGUGUGUGUGUGUGUGUGUGUGUGUGUGUGUGUGUGUGUGUGUGUGUGUGUGUGUGUGUGUGUGUGUGUGCAUGAACCAGCAAUGUUUUUCUCAAUUUUAUGUUUCCAUCUCGGGUAGUGGCAAAUUUUUAUUUAAUCAAUCAUGAUUUGAUCUAUGCAAUUAUAAUCUAUCCAUUUGUGCAUUUAAUGUUUUAAUGGGACUAUCAAGACUUUUGGGGACAUUGUCUAUUGUCCUUGUCAAUCUUUUUUUUUCAUGGCAAUCAAAAUAAACAAUCUUUUUGACAACUGUCAAGUAAAUCAUCUUUGUAUGUAUGCAAGCCACAUUUUGUGGUCUCAGUUGGUUGCAGUCCCUCUGAAUUAUAUAUGAAAAUAAUCUAUGCAAAAUGUAUGCAAAAAUUGUACUGUUAUAAAAUGUUACUGUGAAUUUGCACUAGCUCUGUGUUUACCAUAAUGUGCCUUUGACUAACAGUGUCCUGUUAUGGAUUAAAAAAUAAACGUUUACAUUGAAAACAAACACA
Long non-coding RNA from Alosa alosa (allis shad), 2308 nucleotides. RefSeq lists it as uncharacterized. The record is from RefSeq and is a predicted model, not a curated record. Lineage: Eukaryota; Metazoa; Chordata; Actinopteri; Clupeiformes; Clupeidae. The transcript is spliced from 5 exons.